RNAcentral lists this ribosomal RNA (476 nucleotides) under uncultured organism. RNAcentral describes it as "partial 16S ribosomal RNA". It matches the Rfam family "Bacterial small subunit ribosomal RNA", at positions 333 to 800 of the family's 1533-position model. The record is from RNAcentral.
ACACUCCUACGGGAGGCAGCAGUGGGGAAUAUUGCACAAUGGGCGCAAGCCUGAUGCAGCCAUGCCGCGUGUAUGAAGAAGGCCUUCGGGUUGUAAAGUACUUUCAGCGGGGAGGAAGGCGAUAAGGUUAAUAACCUUGUCGAUUGACGUUACCCGCAGAAGAAGCACCGGCUAACUCCGUGCCAGCAGCCGCGGUAAUACGGAGGGUGCAAGCGUUAAUCGGAAUUACUGGGCGUAAAGCGCACGCAGGCGGUCUGUCAAGUCGGAUGUGAAAUCCCCAGGCUCAACCUGGGAACUGCAUUCGAAACUGGCAGGCUAGAGUCUUGUAGAGGGGGGUAGAAUUCCAGGUGUAGCGGUGAAAUGCGUAGAGAUCUGGAGGAAUACCGGUGGCGAAGGCGGCCCCCUGGACAAAGACUGACGCUCAGGUGCGAAAGCGUGGGGAGCAAACAGGAUUAGAUACCCCUGUAGUCCCAUGA